UGAGGAAUAUUGGGCAGUGCCCGCAAGGGUGACCCAGCAACGCCGCGUGGAGGAUGAAUGUCGUAAGAUUGUAAACUCCUGUUAGAGGGGAAGAAUAGUACCGGUUGGACCGGUAUAUGACUGUACCCUCAGAGAAAGCCCCGGCUAACUACGUGCCAGCAGCCGCGGUAAUACGUAGGGGGCAAGCGUUGUCCGGAUUUACUGGGUGUAAAGGGCGCGCAGGCGGGAUAAAAAGUCAGUGGUGAAAUCCUACAGCUUAACUGUAGAACUGCCUUUGAUACUUUUAUUCUUGAGUUCGGGAGAGAGAGACGGAAUUCCAGGUGUAGUGGCGAAAUACGUAGAUAUCUGGAAGAACACCAGUUGCGAAGGCGGUCUCUUGGUCCGACACUGACGCUGAGGCGCGAAAGCGUGGGGAGCAAACA
RNAcentral lists this ribosomal RNA (422 nucleotides) under uncultured bacterium. Its description in RNAcentral is "bacterial SSU rRNA". It matches the Rfam family "Bacterial small subunit ribosomal RNA", at positions 355 to 774 of the family's 1533-position model. The record is from RNAcentral.